Molecule: RNase P RNA, 322 nt
Filed under: bovine gut metagenome
Description: Bacterial RNase P class A
Rfam family: Bacterial RNase P class A
About the family: Ribonuclease P (RNase P) is a ubiquitous endoribonuclease, found in archaea, bacteria and eukarya as well as chloroplasts and mitochondria. Its best characterised activity is the generation of mature 5'-ends of tRNAs by cleaving the 5'-leader elements of precursor-tRNAs.
Source: RNAcentral
UCGCGGCAUUGCCGAGGAAAGUCCGGGCUUCACAGGGCAGGAUGCCGGAUAACGUCCGGUGGAGGCGACUCCAAGGAAAGUGCAACAGAAAUAAACUACCCUUCUUGUAAGGGAAAAGGUGGAAAGGCAGUGUAAGAGACUACCGCCCUGCCGGUAACGGCAGGGGCAUAUGUAAACCCCAUCCGAAGCAAGACCAAACAGAGAGCGAUACGGCGGCCCGUCGUGCCCUCAGGUAGGUCGCUGGAGGUCACCGGCAACGGUGAUCCGAGAUAGAUGAUUGUCGGGACGUUUCGUCCAACAGAACCCGGCUUACAGCCUGGAU